CCUCAGGUUCAUGUUAAAGUGCUAAUUUUUAAAUUCCAUCCAAAGGGCAGAAACAGGUCUGAUCCAGAAGUUCUCAUUGGUUGUUGAUGCACCCCAGUCCUUAUCUGUCUCUCAUCUCCAGUCUCACUGCAGUCCAUCCUGCAAACGUCAGAUGGGUCUUCUCCUGGGUCUUCUCCGGCUGCCUUGCGCAUGUGCUUCCCCUGAUACGCAAGACAAUGCCUGAAACGGUCGGCAGAGCUUAGAUCUGUUUUUUUGGCAUCGGUCUCAAGGUUUGAAUCAGAUUAGAUUCAAAAGUA
This 296-nucleotide long non-coding RNA is filed under the name Bos taurus (domestic cattle). RNAcentral's name for it is "long non-coding RNA NONBTAT022134". Lineage: Eukaryota; Metazoa; Chordata; Mammalia; Artiodactyla; Bovidae. The record is from RNAcentral.